UGCAGCAGAGGAUACAUCAGGAGCAGUGGUUCAACACAAGGGAUGUUUUAAAGUUACUUAAGCAGAUCUGAGCCGCAAGUUGGUGUUGUGUGUUUGCCGGACAGUUAGCUUCUCUUCCAAUCAGAAGUGGAGCAAGAUUUGGAUGUGGAAGGGAAUGAUACUUUCUGCCUGGGGAAGCCUUAAUUAGGAGAUUUAGACCAAUACUGGUAAAUGCCAGAAAGACUAUGCUUUGAUCUUGAAUGGUGAAAUUCUGGAGUUAUUUUGCAGAUUUGGACUUCAAAAGUUAUGUGUGGUUGAAGAUUUUAGCUGGAUUCCUACAGUUGCAAAAGGUUUCUGCACAGCUUUAUGAAAUUUUUCGAGUGCUGUUGGUGUUGAAGCCUUUUUCAAUGGCUAUGAUUUGCAAGCCUGUAGGCCUUGUUUGUAGUUUUUUGCUAAUAUUUCAUGUUGCUGAUGUGGAGACUAGAAGGAAGGAAGUGAUUUCAGAGGGGUAUGAAGUUAAUUUGGAGUUGUGAAGGUGCUACAUAUCAGGUGAAACUAUGAACCACUCUAGGGGAGGAGCAAAGAUAAAAAUAGUUGGGAGCCUGAUCGAGAAAGAGACAAUGUCUGUCAAGGCUCUUCUCAAACAUCCAAAUGCAGUGUUCAUCAGAAUUACUGACACUCAAUUUGAUCAUAAGUGCUCGCAUGAGGUACAAAACUAAUUAACUACUACAUGGGACCUCAGUGAAUUAGUUUAAUAAAUAUUACUGGGAGUUGAUAAUGGAAAAUAAUGUUUUCCUAGAGGGGAUAUGUUCGAUCAGAUUGUGGAUUUUAAGGUCAUUAUUGAAACUAACCAGGCAUACAAGUACUUUGGACUUUGCACUUUCGCCUUCUGGAUGGCUUGACCAAAGAGAUGAAUUCCAUGGGCUCUAAGAAGAAAUACUUUGUAUUUACUUUGUGUAUUAAUAAUGAAAUGUACAAUGAAUUUAUAGCAAAAACAAAAAACUAAUCUA
Molecule: long non-coding RNA, 989 nt
Organism: Pistacia vera
Lineage: Eukaryota; Viridiplantae; Streptophyta; Magnoliopsida; Sapindales; Anacardiaceae
Exons: 5
Source: RefSeq, a predicted model, not a curated record